CCCUUCACCCGCUGAUUUCACAUCGCAUUAGCUCUGUGCAAAUGCCGGGCUGUGCCCGCGGUAUAUAAAUCACCGCCCGCCUCGAGUACUUUCCAUUCCGCGAUAUUAUAACUGAUUUAUUAAGGAGAGGGGGAACUUCCAGAGUUAACAUUUUUUGUUGUUGUUGUUUUGUAUUUACUGUGAUUUAAAACAUUGAGGGUUUUCCCCCUGCAGCAAUAUCUUGUCAGCUUUGUAAUUCAUCUACCACCACUUCGGGGGCAGGGAGAAGGACAGAAAGAAAGUUACACUUCCUAGCAAGAAAUCAAAGCCUCCCGAAGAACAGACAAAUACUGCUGGAUGGUGAUUUUUAAAUGAGUGUCAACCAGAUAGUGUCUAAAGACAUGGAAAUGAGAAUGGGAAUAUAUCAGCAACAAGCCUUCCACACACUAGUGCAAUAAAAUGGAACAAAAAAAAUGCAUUAAGAAGUUGCUCUAAUCGUGAGACUCCGGCUCUCUGCAGAGGAGCAGGAAGGAGAGAAACAAAAACCACACACACAAAAAAGACAAGGUUUAAUUAGACGAAACCAACUUUGCUUGUGCCUCAUCCAGGCUUUGGUCAGUGAUGGUCAUGAUCUGAUGGAGGAUGUCCCCGAUGUCCUGCUUUCUGCCGUCGCCGUCUGCCCCUUCGUGUCCGUGGGGAGGAGGCAGAGCCAUGCCCCCCUGCACCGAGUGGCCAGCCAGGUUCACGCCGGCCAGAGUCUGCAACAUCCUGGACUGAUCAUCCAUACCUCCUACCGCAGCCCGAUCAAUGCACUUUCAGACAGCAGCCGGAGAAACGGCAAAGCGGGGAGAGCAGGAGCUUCGCCGUCGGAGGAAGGAGGUUUACGCUUCGAAAAGAAAAUGUGAAUAAAUCUCUGGCUCUUGUAGUCAAUUCAGUU
This is a long non-coding RNA of Rhea pennata, 916 nucleotides long. RefSeq lists it as uncharacterized. The record is from RefSeq and is a predicted model, not a curated record. The transcript is spliced from 2 exons. Lineage: Eukaryota; Metazoa; Chordata; Aves; Rheiformes; Rheidae.